RNAcentral lists this ribosomal RNA (539 nucleotides) under uncultured archaeon. RNAcentral describes it as "bacterial SSU rRNA". It matches the Rfam family "Archaeal small subunit ribosomal RNA", at positions 338 to 879 of the family's 1478-position model. The record is from RNAcentral.
GGCGCGAAAACUCCACAAUGUACGGAAGUACGAUGGGGUUAUCUCGAGUGCAGUCCGAUAAGGGCUGCUUUUCCAUAGAGUAAUAUCCUGUGGGAAUAAGAGGGGGGCAAGACUGGUGUCAGCCGCCGCGGUAACACCAGCCCCUCGAGUGGUGGGGACUAUUAUUUGGUCUAAAGCGUCCGUAGCUGGCUGUAUCCGUCCCCCGUUAAAUCCAGCGUCCUAAGCGUUGGACUGCGGGUGAUACCAUACAGCUAGAGGGUGGGAUAGGUGAGCGGUAUUUCUGGGGUAGGGGCGAAAUCCUUUGAUCCCAGGAGGACCACCAGUGGCGAAGGCUGCUCACUAGAACACGCCUGACGGUCAGGGACGAAAGCUGGGGCAGCGAACCGGAUUAGAUACCCGGGUAGUCCCAGCUGUAAACGAUGCUAGCUAGGUGUUGGGUCGGCCACGCGCCGCCCCAGUGCCGCAGGGAAGCCGUUAAGCUAGCCACCUGGGGAGUACGGCCGCAAGGCUGAAACUUAAAGGAAUUGGCGGGGGAGCAC